UAAUUUGGCCGGUAGCUGUAAGUUUAUCGAUUAGCGGGUUUUUAUCCGGGAGUUGGUGAAUGACACCAGCACUUCCGAAUACUCGGCCCGUCAGUGCGGUAUGGUACUUAU
Molecule: long non-coding RNA, 111 nt
Organism: Photinus pyralis (common eastern firefly)
Lineage: Eukaryota; Metazoa; Arthropoda; Insecta; Coleoptera; Lampyridae
Exons: 2
Source: RefSeq, a predicted model, not a curated record